Molecule: ribosomal RNA, 446 nt
Filed under: uncultured bacterium
Lineage: Bacteria
Description: partial 16S ribosomal RNA
Rfam family: Bacterial small subunit ribosomal RNA
Source: RNAcentral
CCUACGGGGUGCAGCAGUCGAGAAUCAUUCACAAUGGGGGAAACCCUGAUGGUGCGACGCCGCGUGGGGGAAUGAAGGUCUUCGGAUUGUAAACCCCUGUCAUGUGGGAGCAAAUUAAAAAGAUAGUACCACAAGAGGAAGAGACGGCUAACUCUGUGCCAGCAGCCGCGGUAAUACAGAGGUCUCAAGCGUUGUUCGGAAUCACUGGGCGUAAGGCGUGCGUAGGCUGUUUCGUAAGUCGUGUGUGAAAGGCGCGGGCUCAACCCGCGGACGGCACAUGAUACUGCGAGACUAGAGUAAUGGAGGGGGAACCGGAAUUCUCGGUGUAGCAGUGAAAUGCGUAGAUAUCGAGAGGAACACUCGUGGCGAAGGCGGGUUCCUGGACAUUAACUGACGCUGAGGCACGAAGGCCAGGGGAGCGAAAGGGAUUAGAUACCCCGGUAGUC